UGGGCCCUUAGCUCAACCGGCAGAGCAGCGGACUCAUAAUCCGUCGGUUCCAGGUUCGAGUCCUGGAGGGCCCAU
RNAcentral lists this transfer RNA (75 nucleotides) under bacterium HR08. RNAcentral describes it as "tRNA-Met". It matches the Rfam family "tRNA". From Rfam's summary of the family: Transfer RNA (tRNA) molecules are approximately 80 nucleotides in length. Their secondary structure includes four short double-helical elements and three loops (D, anti-codon, and T loops). The record is from RNAcentral.